CAAAUUAUCUUACCUCAUUCGCACUUACAGUUUUGAGAGACAUUACAAUAAAGAGAUGGUCUUGUAAAAACAAAUGACAAUCUCAAGUAGUUUAGGUAGUUUGCAGAGAGAUUAAGAUAUGAUAACACCCAAAUUUUAAAGACAAAUCAGCACAAGCCCGACAAUUACGAAUUUUUGGUCGCAAUCUUACUUGACCAUUUUUUUCUCCUUUUCCAACAAUUAGAACUCUCAUAACCCACUUCUCAAAAGAAUAUAAAACAUAUUCAUAACUUAUAUGAAAAAAGAAAAAUAAUGAAACAUGUUCUUGUAGAUUUGUUUUCUGGUCAACAAAACAUAUAAUUAUUUAUUAAGCAUGCAUUCAUCUUUUACAAUCCUAAAAA
This 380-nucleotide long non-coding RNA is filed under the name Arabidopsis lyrata. RNAcentral describes it as "long non-coding RNA (ALYR_LNC002534)". Lineage: Eukaryota; Viridiplantae; Streptophyta; Magnoliopsida; Brassicales; Brassicaceae. The record is from RNAcentral.